CCCUUAGAUGUUCUGGGCCGCACGCGUGCUACACUGAGUGGAUCAGCGGGUCAGGUUGCGCGAAAGUGUUUCCUAAUCUUGAAAUCCGCUCGUGAUGGGGAUUGACGGUUGCAAUUUUCCGUCAUGAACGAGGAAUACCUUGUAAGCGCGGGUCAUCAUCCCGCGCUGAAUACGUCCCUGCCCUUUGUACACACCGCCCGUCGCACCUACCGAUUGAAUGUUUCGGUGAAGAUUCCGGAUAGGACUUUUUUGAUUUAUUUCAAUUUUGUCUUAAAAGCUAUCUAAACCUCAACAUUUAGAGGAAGGUGAAGUCGUAACA
Molecule: ribosomal RNA, 319 nt
Filed under: uncultured eukaryote
Lineage: Eukaryota
Description: partial 18S ribosomal RNA
Rfam family: Eukaryotic small subunit ribosomal RNA
Source: RNAcentral